CGUGGGGAACCUGCCCAAUAGUCUGGGAUACCACUUGGAAACAGGUGCUAAUACCGGAUAAGAAAGCAGAUCGCAUGAUCAGCUUUUAAAAGGCGGCGUAAGCUGUCGCUAUGGGAUGGCCCCGCGGUGCAUUAGCUAGUUGGUAAGGUAAAGGCUUACCAAGGCGAUGAUGCAUAGCCGAGUUGAGAGACUGAUCGGCCACAUUGGGACUGAGACACGGCCCAAACUCCUACGGGAGGCAGCAGGA
RNAcentral lists this ribosomal RNA (247 nucleotides) under uncultured Lactobacillus sp. RNAcentral describes it as "partial 16S ribosomal RNA". It matches the Rfam family "Bacterial small subunit ribosomal RNA", at positions 116 to 354 of the family's 1533-position model. The record is from RNAcentral. Lineage: Bacteria; Bacillati; Bacillota; Bacilli; Lactobacillales; Lactobacillaceae.